This 472-nucleotide ribosomal RNA is filed under the name uncultured bacterium. RNAcentral's name for it is "partial 16S ribosomal RNA". It matches the Rfam family "Bacterial small subunit ribosomal RNA", at positions 28 to 507 of the family's 1533-position model. The record is from RNAcentral.
GACGAACGCUGGCGGCGUGCUUAACACAUGCAAGUCGAACGAUCAAGCGUGGUGCUUGCACCGGGUGGAUGAGCGGCGGACGGGUGAGUAAUACGUGAGUAACCUGCCUUUGACUCUGGGAUAACUUCGGGAAACUGGGUCUAAUACUGGAUAUGAUAUUCAACUGCAUGGUGCUGUGUGGAAAGGGUUUUACUGGUUUUGGAUGGGCUGACGGCGUAUCGCCUUGUUGGUGGGGUAAUGGCCUACCAUGGCGAGGAGGGGUAGCCGACCUGAGAGGUUGACCGGCCACACUGGUACUGCGAGACGGCCCAGACUCCUACGGGAGGCAGCGGUGGGGAGUAUUGCACAAUGGGCGGAAGCCUGUUGCAGCGACGCCGCGUGAGGGAUAACGGCCUUCGGGGUGUAAACCUCUUUCAGCGCGGAAGAAGCGAGAGUGACGGUACGUGCAGAAGAAGCGCCGGCUAACUACGUG